AGCCGCCUACAUAAACACAGAGAAGAGAAUCCAACAACUCUCUCUUCCUUCCUUUCUCUCUUGUCCGAGUCUCAGUUUCAACUUCAAGCCACCAAAGACCAGACUCCAUUGACAGAGACAGAGGGUCCUUCCUCUUGUUCAGACUAAUUCUUCCAACUAGUCUCUAUCUCUAUAGACUUUUUAACUCCUUCAUCUUCUUCUUACGUUACAUUUAGUUAUUUCAGAAUCAAGUUGGUAGCUUUGCAUUUUAAACAAUAAUUGACAUUUUUGAUUCAUUAUUAGGUCCAACACCACAUUCUCUGACAUUUGAAGGGAAAAAAAAACCUUUUAAAUUGGGGUUCAAUUUCAUAGCUUUUGGGGGUAUUCUGAUUUUGGGGUCUGAUCAAAAUUUAAGCUUUUGGGUGGUCUGGAUAAUGCAAGCACUUUCAGGCAUCGAUCACCCAGAAACAAAAAAGAUGAGAAAUUUUGCUGGAAGAUUUUGUUGGCUGCCAUGUCAACUGUUCUGUGUAUAUAUAUUCUGAAGAAGUCAUCUAGUUUUACUACCCCAAGCCCGAUAAGUUUUUGACCAAUAAAAAUGAUCUCUACUUGUAUUUUCUCCCUUGUUGUUAUGGGACUUGUCUACCUUUUUGUUUGUUUGUUUCUUGUUGUAUACUUUGCUAUGUUCCAUUCUGAUUCACACUUCUUCUCCCGUUGACUUCUUUUCCAGUUUUCUCGCCAUGAACCAGGGGUAACUCGUGUUCUGGUAACAGGAGGAGCUGGCUUUAUUGGUUCACACCUGCUGCUCUCCGACUUCUAAAAGACUCAUAUCGUGUUACAAUAGUGGGUAAUCUCUCUUGGGGAAACUUUGGUGCUGUUAAGGUUCUUCAGGAGAAAUUCCCCGAACCUGGAAGGCUGCAAUUCAUAUCCGCUGAUUUGGGUGAUCCAAAAGCUGUAUCUUCCAGUCUUAGAUAGUUUUUUGGCCAAUGCGUAUGCGUAAAAUGUGAAUGUUGGAGUCUAUUCCUUAAUAAUUGGUUCAGGUAAAUAAAAUCUUCGAAUGCAUUUCACGGCUGUCGCAUAUGUAGGAGAAAGCAUUCUUGAACCUCUUAGAUUCCAAUAAAUUCAAUCAUGAGUGUUUGAGUGCUGGUGCAUUUUGUUACUUUGUUUGACCAAAGGCUGCAAGAGAUAUUAUCGCAAAAUUUUAAUGUAAUUGAUAAGUAUAGAUUCCAAUAAAUCCAUAUGGGAAGAUGGCAGAAGAUAUCAUACUAGACUUUGCAAAUAACUCAGACAUGCGUGUGAUGAUUUUAAGAUAUUUCAAUGUGAUUGGAUCUGAUCCUGUUGGGGGAAGCUCCCAGACCUGAACUACUUCGGAUUUCAGGGGCUUGCCUUGGGAAUCAUACCUGGCCUGAAGGGUACGGAUUAUAGCACAGCUGAUGGAACCUGCAUAAGAGACUACAUUGAUAUUACUGAUCUAAUUGAUUUAAGGCACUGGUAAUGGUGCAGCCAAGGUGGGUGGGGCGAGGGGUUUCACGUUCGGGCCACAAAGCAACUACCAAGUGUUAUGUAAAGUUUGGGAAGGAGGAGGAGCUUCCAGUGACAGUGAAGUUGUGUGGAUGGAGGAGGACAGCACGUUGAUAAUAAUAAUAAUAAUAAUAAUUUGAUGACAGAUCAAACUAUAUUCGGAGAUUGAAAAAGGAGAAGGGAUCUUUGGAAUUGUUGUUUGCUAAUAGAGGGUUUGGACAGUGAAUGGUUUAAACAGACCUGGACCUCGUUCAUUCUCAGUUGUUGGAGCUGGAGUUGUCUCGUUAUCAUGUAACGGUUAUGGCGGAUAAGUAUCAAAAAGAAGAAAGAAGAGAUGCAUGCAUGUUUUUCUUAUUUACGUAUUAAGUUAGAGAUAUGGUUCUUGGAUCAGAAAUGCAGCUCAAGUGUUCAUCACCACACUAAAUAACAGUUAGUGUGUAUGUUGCAACUUGUAAAUAGGAAAUGAACAAACAUAUUCAGUCUCUAGAAUUUUCAAUUGUUUGGAAGUGGUUAAGCCCCACAGGACAUUAAGCUGGAUUUGGAUUUGUUGUCAGUUUGUCUUCUCAUUCAGUUGGAGGGAGUAUGUUCCUUGUUCUUUCGUAAGGAAGGAUUUCUGUGGCGCAUUAUUAAAUAUUGUUUUGUAGGCAUGGAUUACCCAGAAGCGAAAAAGAAGAGAAAUUUUGCUGGAAAGAUUUUGUUGGCUGCCGUGUUAACUGUUCUGUGUAUAUAUAUUCUGAAGAACUCAUCUGGUUUUACCACCCCAACCCCUUUCUCUCGCCAUGAACCAGGAGUAACUCAUGUUCUAGUAACAUGAGGAUGUGGGUUUAUUGGUUCGCAUGCUGCUCUCCGACUUCUCAAGGACGACUACCGUGCACGAUAGUGGAUAAUCUCUCUUGGGGAAACUUUGGUGCUGUUAAGGUUCUUCAGGAGCAAUUCCUCGAACCUGAAUAGCUGCAAUUCAUGAUUUGGGUGAUCCAAUAGCUGUAAAUAAAAUCUUCCGGGAGAAUGCAUUUCGCGGCUGUUGCACAUGUGGGAGAAAGCAUUCUUGAACCUCUUAGGUAUUAUCAAACAUAACAUCGAACACCGUAGUAGUAGUACUAGAGGCAAUGGCAGCACAUGGAGUGAAGACGUUAAUUUAUUCGAUAAUUUUUUUUUCUAUUCUGAUAUCAAUUUGUUGAUAGUGUAGAUUCCAAUAAAUCCAUAUUGUAAAGCCAAGAAGAUGGCCGAAGAUAUCAUACUAGACUUGUCAAUUAACUCAGACAUGGUUGUGAUGAUUUUAAGGUGAACUUGUUUCUGAUAAA
This is a long non-coding RNA of Papaver somniferum (opium poppy), 2798 nucleotides long. RefSeq lists it as uncharacterized. The transcript has 12 exons. The record is from RefSeq and is a predicted model, not a curated record. Lineage: Eukaryota; Viridiplantae; Streptophyta; Magnoliopsida; Ranunculales; Papaveraceae.